RNAcentral lists this long non-coding RNA (2309 nucleotides) under Cyanistes caeruleus (blue tit). RNAcentral's name for it is "lncRNA (ENSCCEG00000020797.1)". The record is from RNAcentral. Lineage: Eukaryota; Metazoa; Chordata; Aves; Passeriformes; Paridae.
AUGAUAAUUCAUCGUGCCAUUAGAGUCUUUCUGAUUGUAUUUCAGUGGGAUCAACAGCAGUAUUGCUACAAAGUUUCUGGAAGAAGGAGGAUUUAUUUCAGCAGCUGCAGCGCUGUGCUGAUUCUCACGGUUCAGAGUUUCUUGUGGCUGUGGAAGCUGAAAGUUUUCUUUAAAGGAAGAGACACAGUCCUGCAAUUUCACAAUGGCAUCAGAGAAACUUUAAAAAAUCACUUCCUACAGUGAAUGCUUGCAAGCUUGGAUAAUACAUCUGGAGAAGGCCAUAUCUGUGUGAUAAAACCUGAAUUUAAAGAAGAGCCAGGGGCUUGUUGCUGCUCCCAUGAUAGUGUUGGUUUUUUCCUUCACCUUUACAACUGAGCCUGCUGCCUCUGCCGUUUAGUGAUGAUCGAUGUGAACAUGCUGGAACUGUUUACAUGAAGUGAGCUGAAUCAUUCAACCUAAUAUUCAUUUGUUUGACUAAAGCCUCUUUAGAGCCACUUGUGAUCUGAUGACUAACGUGGCACAAAGAUGCUAAUGCUCAGUGUAUACAUAAAUCAUUAACUACUUAAUUUGGAUUUGGAAACCUGAGGCAACAGAAUGCUCCAUGGAGAAACAGCUAUAUCUGUCUCUCUCCAUCCUGAACCACCUGUCUCCAGAGACCUGGAAUGCAUUAGAAAAGUUAAUGUAGUGACUGAACUAAAUCUAGAUAGAUCCUCUGUUCCAGAAGAAAGCAGCAUUUUUUGCAACUAGAAAAGCAAGGAAAUCUAGGAUGUUUUCUAGUGAGAAAACAAAAAUCAGCUCGAGCAGUACUGCCAGAGAAAAGUAAGAACUGAGAAGAAUCUGAGCCCCGCUAUAAUUUUCUAAAAAAUAUUUUUUGGAGUACAUUUCUUUAGUGAAGUGUUUUGGCACUCAAGGGGAAAGUGUAUCUUCCAAACUGAUAAACUCACUUGCUGGAUGCAUGUGAUAUGAACAAUUUUCUAACACUGAGGUUCCUCAUCUUGUAACUCUUGUCUUCUUCCUUCUGGUUAAUGAGCUGUGUCCCCCUGACUAAAAUACCAUCAAGAAUAUUAUUGAUAAUGGAGCCUAAUGGAACAUGGGACUCUGUGCUGCUGCAAGGCACUAAGCUGCAAACUUCAUAAUGGGAAAUUCUGAGACUACUUCUAUUUUUAGAUAUAAACUACCAGUGAGAGGCAUUUCAUAACGAUGUCAGUGAAUGGAUUCCAUUCUCUGAAGCUUUUGUUUAUCUUGUGUUACUUAAACAGGUUAAAUGCUUGUAUCUAAGUAUGCAUAAAGCAGUAAAGCUGCUUCUGUACCAAAGCAAGUUAAUCCUGUGUUCAUUUCUGUAGGUCCAAGAUGUGUUAUUGCCCAGGUCUUAGAGAGGAAAACAGUGCUCUGAGCUAACCUGGAUUCUGACACAUGUUGAAAGGGAAGCAGGACCUUCCAACAUUCUUUCUGACUUAAUAAUUUUGCUCUUUCUUUAAUACUACACUACAACCAGAUUGGACCUGUUUUCUUCAUUUGAAUUUUUAAUUUGAUCCUCCUGUGUAAAAGUAUGGUAAAUGACAAUCUACUGGCAUGUUGUUUCUGUUCCUAAAUUUGAGCCAUGUUGUCACUCUGUGUUGUUAUUGAGGAGUGUGAGUGCUUUCAGGAACACAUGACCAGUUGUUUGCUACUUCAGUAGAAUGUUGUUUACCUGAAUGGAAAGCUCAGCCCACCAAAUCUGAAUGUCAGACACAUUUUUUAUUUAGUAAAGCAGACAUUUAAAACAUUAUUUUGUUUUUGACAUCAGGUGACCUCACUUAUUCCUAGAGAAUUAUUACUUAAAUAUUUAAGGCAGAUUCUCACAAAGGGUUUGAUAUGUCCUAGAUAAAAUGUUUGCUUUAACUUUAAAUAUAUAACAUCUAAACUCUACUCCUCUAGAACUUUAUGGCUUUAUAAAUUUGGAAAAGUGAUAUGGAAGUAAAGUGUUGGAGGGCAAACAGGAAUUGUCGCAUGCUUCAGAGAAAUCAAAGUCACUUCAACAUAAGGAUUUUACGAAUAUGUUUUUAUUUAGCUUAAAAGCUGGAAAGUCAGGUUUAAGGGGCAAGUCAAUAUUCUCACAAGGACUUGUUUUACUUUAUGACAUAAAACUUCAAGAUUGCUUGCCAGCUACAUUAGUUUAUAAAGUCUGUUUUUACAGUGAGUGAUAUACUUUAGAAAAAAUAGUUCUUUUCCAGGGAUAGCAUUUUAAUUCUAUUUCAAAUAUUGAGUGAAGAAAGCUCCAAAUAAUUCAGUGCAAUAAACCUUUGCUAUGUUCAAGACUGUAAUAUAAG